GCCUUUGCCUUACGGCCUGGAGCACCAGGCCGAAGCCGAAGGGAGCGUCCGGAUCCCGGAUAGCAGCCAGGACCCGGGCCUUCACGUUCCGGCGCCAGGGACUGGACAGAAUGUGCGGCUAUUAGGUGCCCAGUAGAUCGACAGCCCCUCCGUGCCGGCCCUUGGCCAAGUAGGGACUCGGAAGCUACCCCUACGGCGUCCGCGCCCGGAGCCCUGGCUCUUCUACCUGCCUGCAGAUACAAACCCCACUCCCUGCGAAGAUGGUGUACACGCAGCCCCGAGCACAGACCCGAAGCUGUCCACCCUUCUUGGGCGCCGUCGCGGUCUGGCCGCUGCCCUUCGAACCCAUGGCUUCCACACCUUUCUUCUCUCUGUUCUGCACUUGGAGAAUCUGGGUCAAUUGUAGAAGAAGAGGGAGAGAAAUAGAAAAUAUGAACAGAAAGAAAUUUUUAAGGAGUCUACGCAUUGUACAGACUGCCGAUAAAGCAGCACCUUCCUACUAUUUAUUUCUGAAUACAGCUUGCAGGGACAUUUUGGUAUGAACUAGGAAACUCAUGGGUUAUAAGAUUAAUAUUUUAAAAAGAUAUCAAUAUUGUCUGAUUAAAUAUGUUUAAUAUCAUCAUAUCCCCUUUUAUUAAACCUUAUGCUAAGAAGGGGGGACAGAUAGAAGGGGAAAAUAACAUUGAAAAAAGAGGAUUGAAAGUUCUCUUCUGAACUGUAAGACUUUGCCGGGCCUCUACACAUAUUUGGGAU
This 753-nucleotide long non-coding RNA is filed under the name Homo sapiens (human). RNAcentral describes it as "non-protein coding lnc-DHRS7-1:16". Lineage: Eukaryota; Metazoa; Chordata; Mammalia; Primates; Hominidae. The record is from RNAcentral.